Long non-coding RNA from Pan troglodytes (chimpanzee), 739 nucleotides. RefSeq lists it as uncharacterized. The transcript is spliced from 4 exons. NCBI's taxonomy places the organism in Eukaryota, Metazoa, Chordata, Mammalia, Primates, Hominidae. The record is from RefSeq and is a predicted model, not a curated record.
AUUGGCUAGAGUGAGUGUGCGUACUAAGCGAUUGAUGUGAGUAAAGCCCGCCUGGGCGUGUCUGCCGCGGAGCAUAAGCUCACGUGGAUUACCUGUAGGGUCUCCAUCAGGAAGCCCUAGGUGCCGGCAAGAAGGGUAGUGGAAAGACGUGACCUGCCCUCAAGCAGCUCAGCCUCACGGGGAAAAGAAAUGUGUAAAGAGCUGAACUUAGGGUCAUGGAUGUUGUAUGGACAAGGAGUUUGAAAAACUUGGCUGGAGGGGAGGACUUUGCAUUUGCACACACUGGAAGGAUGCCUUUAUUGUAUCCAUUUCUGUAUUCGUACCAGCACCUCGCAAAAUAAUUGUCUCAGCAGACUCCCUUGGGCAAUACUUCACAGACAUGACUGUGCACGCCAGUCACCCAGAGAUCAUGUUAAAAUGCACAUCUGGUUCAGCAGGCCUAGGUUUCUGUAUGUUAUAGAAAUUCAAAGAAGACAAACUCUAGCCAAGAGCAGUGUGAAGAAAAGAAGACGCUAUAUUAAUCACAGUCCAGGGAUGCCUUCUGGCUUCCUGGCAGCAAUUCCGGCCUGAGAUUCCUUCUCUGUGCAUACUUCCUGUCAACACUGUGUGAUGUCAAGCUGUAGCCAUCACAAAAGUACUGUGAACACCUGUAAAUCCCAACUAUCAAAAAUCACACCCAGGAAUCCAAAUUAGCAUUAUUAUGUCAAAAGAAAAACCUGAUUUCCUCACUGUCUGAUAA